RNAcentral lists this ribosomal RNA (463 nucleotides) under uncultured bacterium. Its description in RNAcentral is "partial 16S ribosomal RNA". It matches the Rfam family "Bacterial small subunit ribosomal RNA", at positions 28 to 507 of the family's 1533-position model. The record is from RNAcentral.
GACGAACGCUGGCGGCGUGCUUAACACAUGCAAGUCGAACGGAAAGGCCUUUUCGGCGGUACUCGAGUGGCGAACGGGUGAGUAACACGUGGGUGAUCUGCCCUGCACUCUGGGAUAAGCCUGGGAAACUGGGUCUAAUACCGGAUAGGACCGCACUUUAGUGUGCGUGGUGGAAAGUUUUUUCGGUGUAGGAUGAGCCCGCGGCCUAUCAGCUUGUUGGUGGGGUAAUGGCCUACCAAGGCGGCGACGGGUAGCCGGACUGAGAGGUUGGUCGGCCACAUUGGGACUGAGAUACGGCCCAGACUCCUACGGGAGGCAGCAGUGGGGAAUAUUGCACAAUGGGCGCAAGCCUGAUGCAGCGACGCCGCGUGGGGGAGGACGGCCUUCGGGUUGUAAACUCCUUUCGCCAGGGACGAAGCGUUUUGUGACGGUACCUGGAGAAGAAGCACCGGCUAACUCUGUG